Polaribacter sp. SA4-10 is the source of this 33-nucleotide non-coding RNA. The record is from Rfam. NCBI's taxonomy places the organism in Bacteria, Pseudomonadati, Bacteroidota, Flavobacteriia, Flavobacteriales, Flavobacteriaceae.
AAUGCAGAAGCCGAAAAGCAAUUAGAGUAGGCA